This is a long non-coding RNA of Chinchilla lanigera (long-tailed chinchilla), 1995 nucleotides long. RefSeq lists it as uncharacterized. The record is from RefSeq and is a predicted model, not a curated record. The transcript has 4 exons. Lineage: Eukaryota; Metazoa; Chordata; Mammalia; Rodentia; Chinchillidae.
CGGAGACGUGCCUGGUUUCCGAGCGCUGUGCCUGUCCCCACUCGCUGCUCCAGCGGAGUGACGCAGGUUCAAAUCCCAGCCCCGCCAGAUCCUCUCCGAGUCUUCUCAGACCUGUUUUCUGCUACUGCCUCCUCCAGCGCACACCGCUUCCUUUGUCAGACAGCAAGCCACAGAAUAGCUUGUUUCUGCUGCUCAGAAAACUUCGCCUUGGAAAGUUGCUGCGAGGAGAAAAGAAGAUCGGCGCUGGGCUCCCUGCAGUGGCAUCAGACUUGCCAUGGCAGCCCUGGCCGGGCUGGCAGCCGCUCUGAGAAGCGCGCUGGGCGGCUCGCUCCGUCUCCCGUCUUAGUGGGUGCCCAGGGCUAGUCGCUGAGGGGUCCAGGCCAGCGCGUGUGUGCCGGGGGAGACCGGCUCAGCGGGGCCGUUGUCGCUGAGCAGGGGCUCUCCUGUUACACAGUGUCAGGAGCUGCUGGGAAGGCACACUUUGAAAACAAACCGGAACCUUCCAUAACCGGACCUGCAGACCCUCUGGCCUUGGGGUUAGAGUUCUUUCUCUCGGGGAGGAGCUGGGAGUGCCGCGGACUGAGGGGAAGCUGUCUGCGGUGCCCCGCGCCCCGGGGUGGGGUCGCGGCGGGUGAACAGCCGCGCCCUGCCUGACCUCACCGCCGCGGUCACCUCUGGAACGGUCACUGGCCUGCCCCAGAUGACCUACGCACGACUCACCCGGAAGAAAAAAAUGGGAAGCGGAUGUAUGGGGAAAAGCGGAGGGUCUCACUAUGCAGUCCAGGUUGGCCUUGAACUCACCAUGUAGACCAGGCUGGCCUCAAACUCCCAUCGAUCCUCCUGCCUCAGCCUCCUGCCACCACGGCCACGUCAGUGUUGUUUCUGAGAUACAGGGCUCCGUGUUCUGCAGUGACAGUCUCUUCUGCCGGCUCCCUGAUGCUCUGACCAAGUCCACGCCUCUGUCAAAGGUUUGCGCUGCAGUGACAGGUGGCUCAGCCUUCCGACCUGUGCCGCAGCCUGCCUGUGUGCGCGGCUCGCUGGGUGCUUGUCCUCACACGUGGCCUGCUGAGUAGCGCUGAGUAGCUCCGGUUCCCGGAGACCUGUGCCCGGCAGAGUCACCAGGUCACACGGUAACUCCACGUCUUCCCUCUUUGUGUUUUUGCCAGCGGGUUCAGAACGCAGGGCUCGCGCUUGCUAAGCUCGUGCUCUUCUGCAGAGCCACACCUCAGCCCUCAUUUCUGCUCUUUUGUUUUGUUGCGUUGUGUUUGUUUUGUUUAGGGACUGGUCUCAAACUCAGCGAUCCUCCUGCCUCAGCCUCCCCAGCGCUCGGGUACAGGUGUGGCCCACCUCACCUGGCCCCACUGUUUGAGGAACCAUCAGACUUGGGGCAUUCUGCACCCAGAUACCCAAGGCUGUCCCCUCUCAUGCAGUCUGUCACCUCUUCAGACUGCCACGCCCCUCUCCAAACCGCCGUCACCUCCGUCCUCAUCUGCCCACCCUCAGGGCUCAUCGCUCUGCCUCGACCCACAGCCUGGCACUGGGCCCGGUAUGCGGCAGGCGCUCACGAAGCGCAGGCUGACGACCAGGCUGUCAGCGCUGAGGAGCUGCAACAAUGGGCGGAUUGUCACCGUCAGCUCAGGUGGCUGUGACUCAGCUGAGUAAGUGGCCGGCUUCCUCCUGGCUCAGGAAGGAACCAACCCACUGAAGAGCAACGGGGAGGAGGACGUGGUGCUUCCUGUGGGUGACUCAGCGGGUCCCCUCCGGCAGCCCCAGCUCCGUGCCCGAAAUGAGACGGCCAGCCCUCAGUGACGCAGUGCAAACAGGCGCUGAGAACAGGGCUUGGGUCCACGCCUGCAGUCGCCUAGGGAAAGGGCCAGGCUGGUGGGCCAAGCCUUCUGGCUACUUGGCAUUUAGCAGUGUGACCCUUUGUGAGUUAAUCGCAUGGGAGGGGACCGGGUAGAGCAGCUGCCGCACUGGAUGUGGUGCCGCACACCU